GGCUUUGUUUAGUGGCAGUAUCAUAAUCAGUGAAGUUUAUCUGAGGUUUGAUUAUUAUUAAUUGAGAACUUUCCUCGGUACCCAAUAUAGUUGUCAUUAGCAAUUGUUGACAUGCUCUACAGCA
RNAcentral lists this small nuclear RNA (124 nucleotides) under Sorex araneus (European shrew). RNAcentral describes it as "U4 spliceosomal RNA (ENSSARG00000015917.1)". It matches the Rfam family "U4 spliceosomal RNA". Rfam says of the family: U4 small nuclear RNA (U4 snRNA) is a component of the major U2-dependent spliceosome. The structure of U4 snRNA from yeast and human has been reported. The record is from RNAcentral. Lineage: Eukaryota; Metazoa; Chordata; Mammalia; Eulipotyphla; Soricidae.